Molecule: ribosomal RNA, 274 nt
Filed under: uncultured bacterium
Lineage: Bacteria
Description: partial 16S ribosomal RNA
Rfam family: Bacterial small subunit ribosomal RNA
Source: RNAcentral
AUACGGAGGGGGCGAGCGUUGUUCGGAAUUAUUGGGCGUAAAGGGCGCGUAGGCGGCCUUGUAAGUCGGUUGUGAAAUCCCUUGGCUUAACCAAGGAACUGCACCCGAAACUGCAGGGCUAGAGUCCGGGAGAGGGUAGUGGAAUUCCCAGUGUAGCGGUGAAAUGCGUAGAUAUUGGGAGGAACACCAGUGGCGAAGGCGGCUACCUGGACCGGUACUGACGCUGAGGCGCGAAAGCUAGGGUAGCAAACAGAAUUAGAAACCCCGGUAGUCC